UUCUCUUCUCUAUUCUUCCAUUCUUUGUCGACCCGUAAACAGAGAAUGAUAGGUGUCGUCUUGUAUAUAUAACCUGAAUAAUGUCUCGAUUAUCUGCGAGCUUUUUUUCAUUAUAGUUCUUCAGUUUCUUAGUCCUAGAAUGUUUAAUUAGGACUCCGAAAAUGGAGCAGUAAGUUAUUACAGUUUGUUUUUGUUUGUGUCUCAAAGUUUUUCAGAAAAGUGAAACAUAUGUUCCAUGACUUAACAUGUUUUGUGUCGGCAACGACUUUUAAGUUUCGAAUGAUUUUGUAAACAAUUUUUUGAAUAGUAGUAAGUAGUAUGAUCUAACGAAACUAAUCAUUUUGACUCUUUAAUAGCCUUUGACUUCGAGAGUAGCGAGAGAGAGAGACUUAUUGACUUCAUACCUACCACUUAUUAACUAUGUUAUCUAUUCCCAAAGAUUGAGCUUUGGAAUUGACGUAUUCAAGCUUUGCCUCUACUAUAACCAAAAGCAAGAGAUAAAUUAACUUGCUCUAACCAGAAAAGCUCGUCUUUAAACAAUAGAGGCGACUAGAGGAAAAUACAUUUUUUUUUGUUUGCAUCUAUUGUGUAUCAAAACUAGAAUCGAAUUUAACUGAUGAGCUAAAUUAGCUAAACACAAUAUAGUAACGUGAUUAAUGUUGAAAUUCAGAAAUGGAACUAGAUUAUUAAAUUUUAACACCAAAAAGACUGUCCACCAAUUGAAUGCAUAGUCCUUUUUAUAGUGAAAAAAUGUCCCAACCCCAACCUACCAAAUUCCCAAAAGAAUCAUAUUCUUCCUGUUGUAUUUGAAUUUUGAGUUUUGAGCAACACAAUAACAACUUUUAAUUAGAUUUUAUUUUCUUUUUAAUGAAAGAUGACUUAUCCAAAAUAGUUUGAUGACUUGGUCUUUUCUUGCAAACUAAAAUUUUUGUCUGAUACUCUCUUGUUAGUCAUUUCAACUCAGUUUGUAGAAACCAUCGUUAUUACUUAUUAAUGCCGAAAAUCUGCCAUGGAACCAAAUCAUUAAAUUUAACAAAGAACUGUCCAAAAAAGGGUAAUUUAAAGAUAAAUUAUUUUCAUUACAACAGUAUUAAUGUAUUAGAAUUAUUAAAUAUAAAACAAAUUAGCAAAAUUAAAGAAACAAUAUGAAAAUAGUAGGCAAAACAUAAGCAAAACAAAUUUUGGUCAAAAAUAGAAAUUUAAGGUUCAAAGUUGAGAUAAAUAAAUGAUUAUUGAUAUAGAAACUAAACUACACACAAAACUGUACGUAAUAAUACAAAAUAUUACAAAAAC
RNAcentral lists this small RNA (1293 nucleotides) under Arabidopsis thaliana (thale cress). RNAcentral describes it as "ATSL017670". Lineage: Eukaryota; Viridiplantae; Streptophyta; Magnoliopsida; Brassicales; Brassicaceae. The record is from RNAcentral.